RNAcentral lists this ribosomal RNA (305 nucleotides) under uncultured bacterium. RNAcentral's name for it is "bacterial SSU rRNA". It matches the Rfam family "Bacterial small subunit ribosomal RNA", at positions 332 to 636 of the family's 1533-position model. The record is from RNAcentral.
UGGACCUACGGGGGGCAGCAGUGAGGAAUAUUGGUCAAUGGGCGAGAGCCUGAACCAGCCAAGUCGCGUGAAGGAUGACGGCCCUACGGGUUGUAAACUUCUUUUGUCAGGGAGCAAUUGGGUCCACGCGUGGGCUUAGCGAGAGUACCUGAAGAAAAAGCAUCGGCUAACUCCGUGCCAGCAGCCGCGGUAAUACGGAGGAUGCGAGCGUUAUCCGGAUUUAUUGGGUUUAAAGGGUGCGUAGGCGGGACGGUAAGUCAGCGGUAAAAAUGCGGAGCUCAACUCCGUCGAGCCGUUGAAACUGC